AGAGUUUGAUCCUGGCUCAGGAUGAACGCUGGCGGUAUGCCUUACACAUGCAAGUCGAACGGGAAUUAUCUUCGGUUAAUUCUAGUGGCGGACGGGUGAGUAACACGUGAGAAUUCUCCUUUAGGAGGGGGAUAACGAAUGGAAACAUUCGCUAACACCCCAUAUGCCCCUGGGUGAAAAAGAGGAGAUAAGUUAAACUGACUCCCCUCUGCCUGAAAAGAAGCUCGCGGCUGAUUAGCUAGUUGGUAGGGUAAUGGCCUACCAAGGCGACGAUCAGUAGCUGGUCCGAGAGGACGAUCAGCCACACUGGGACUGAGAUACGGCCCAGACUCCUACGGGAGGCAGCAGUGGGGAAUAUUGCACAAUGGGCGCAAGCCUGAUGCAGCGACGUCGCGUGAGGGAUGACGGCCUUCGGGCUGUAAACCUCUUUCACCAGGGACGAAGCGCAAGUGACGGUACCUGGAGAAGAAGCACCGGCCAACUACGUGCCAGCAGCCGCGGUAAUACGUAGGGUGCGAGCGUUGUCCGGAAUUACUGGGCGUAAAGAGCUCGUAGGUGGUUUGCCGCGUUGUUCGUGAAAACUCACAGCUUAACUGUGGGCGUGCGGGCGAUACGGGCAGACUAGAGUACUGCAGGGGAGACUGGAAUUCCUGGUGUAGCGGUGGAAUGCGCAGAUAUCAGGAGGAACACCGGUGGCGAAGGCGGGUCUCUGGGCAGUAACUGACGCUGAGGAGCGAAAGCGUGGGGAGCGAACAGGAUUAGAUACCCUGGUAGUCCACGCCGUAAACGGUGGGUACUAGGUGUGGGUUCCUUCCUUGGGAUCCGUGCCGUAGCUAACGCAUUAAGUACCCCGCCUGGGGAGUACGGCCGCAAGGCUAAAACUCAAAGGAAUUGACGGGGGCCCGCACAAGCGGCGGAGCAUGUGGAUUAAUUCGAUGCAACGCGAAGAACCUUACCUGGGUUUGACAUGCACAGGACGCUGGUAGAGAUAUCAGUUCCCUUGUGGCCUGUGUGCAGGUGGUGCAUGGCUGUCGUCAGCUCGUGUCGUGAGAUGUUGGGUUAAGUCCCGCAACGAGCGCAACCCCUAUCUUAUGUUGCCAGCGCGUUAUGGCGGGGACUCGUAAGAGACUGCCGGGGUCAACUCGGAGGAAGGUGGGAUGACGUCAAGUCAUCAUGCCCCUUAUGUCCAGGGCUUCACACAUGCUACAAUGGCCGGUACAAAGGGCUGCGAAUCCGCGAGGUGGAGCGAAUCCCUUGAAAGCCGGUCUCAGUUCGGAUCGGGGUCUGCAACUCGACCCCGUGAAGUUGGAGUCGCUAGUAAUCGCAGAUCAGCAACGCUGCGGUGAAUACGUUCCCGGGCCUUGCAAUCACCGCCCGUCAAG
RNAcentral lists this ribosomal RNA (1382 nucleotides) under uncultured bacterium. Its description in RNAcentral is "partial 16S ribosomal RNA". It matches the Rfam family "Bacterial small subunit ribosomal RNA". The record is from RNAcentral.